GAAGCACCAUAACUAUUAAUACCUGAAGUUUUCCUCCAAUAAUAAUUUAGGCUGUGUCCCUGUUUUUCUCUAAAAUGAAUGUUGCCAUGAACAUCACUGUGCACAUAUAUCUUUGUGAACUUAUAUCUACAUGUGUCUGUAGGACAGAGUUCUAGAGGUGGGAUUUCUGGGCAAAUUAUAUACAUGUUUUAAUUUUUGACAGGUACUGCCAAAUUACCUUCUAAAAAUGCCUUACACACUAGAGUUUUUUUCCCCAUCUUCUCCCCAUACUCUCACCAACACUGAGAUACUCAGUCACUUUAAAUGUUUGCCAAUGGAGAGGCAAUCAUUGAUUGUUGCGACGUCCCCACACAUUUUUAAAGCUCGCAUGGCACACUUGGUCUGUGGUGUAGCUUUCUGGCCCCCUAGUGGCAAGGAGUGAGGGUCACAGUGGGCAGGCAUUCAGUCGUGAUGGGCAGCUGCUUUGGGGACCACAGAAGAUGGUGUGUGGGAAGGGAGGCCUGAGAAGCAUGGAGGUCAUGACACAGGAGUGAGGCCAGGAGGGACCUUACACUGGACAGUUGUCUGUUCAGAGUCCCGGCUGGGGGUUGGCCACACCAUGGGCGCUUGGAGCAGGAGUGCAAGCUGUAGGGUGGGAGAGGACUGUUUUGCAGCCUGAGCUGCAGUGAGGGAGGGGCCUGUCUUGCAGAGAGCCACGCAGAUCAGCAACAUGCCCUUUAUGGACGAGUCCUCUGGGUCUGAUGAUGACUGCAGCUCUCAGGCGAGUUUCCGAAUCUCGGUCCCCUCCUCUGAGUCCAGGAAGACCAGCGGACUAGGCAGCCCCCGGGCCAUCAAGAGAGGCGUCUCCAUGUCCUCACUGAGCUCGGAGGGUGACUACGCCAUCCCCCCGGACGCCUGCUCGCUGGACAGUGACUACUCAGAGCCUGAGCACAAACUGCAGCGCACCUCAUCCUACUCCACCGAUGGGCUGGGCCUGGGCGGGGAGUCACUGGAGAAGUCGGGCUACCUGCUGAAAAUGGGGAGCCGGGUGAAGACGUGGAAGAGGCGCUGGUUUGUCCUGAGACAGGGACAGAUUAUGUACUACAAGUCCCCGAGUGAUGUCAUCCGGAAACCUCAAGGCCAAGUGGAUCUGAACUCCUGCUGCCAAAUUGUUCGAGGGGAGGGUUCACAGACGUUUCAGCUCAUCUCUGAGAAGAAAACCUACUACCUGAUGGCCGAUUCACCCAGCCUGCUGGAGGAGUGGAUCCGAGUACUCCAGAGCCUGCUGAAGGUGCAGGCCACCGGGCCUCCAGCUCUGUCUCGGGGUGGCACCAAGCCCACCGUGAAGGGCUGGCUGACCAAGGUAAAGCAUGGCCACUCCAAGCUGGUCUGGUGCGCUCUUGUUGGGAAAACCUUCUACUACUAUCGGAGCCAUGAGGACAAGCGACCCCUGGGCUGCCUUCCUGUGCAGGAUGCACGCAUAGAGGAAGUAGAUCGAUCCUGUGACUCAGACGAGGACUAUGAGGCUGGUGGAACCAGACGGUUGCUUUCCUCCCACUGCACCCUGGUGAUCCACCCCACAGAGCACAGCCCCACCUACCUCCUCAUUGGCACCAAGCAUGAAAAGGAUACGUGGCUCUACCACCUCACAGUGGCUGCAGGUGGCAGCAGUGCCAGGGUGGGCACUGCCUAUGAGCAGCUCAUUGGAAAACUGAUGGAUGGUGAAGGAGACCCAGAUUCGCCGCUCUGGAGGCACCCCAUGCUGUGCUACAGCAAAGACGGCCUAUACGCCUCCCUCACCACCCUGCCCUCUGAGGCCUUGCAGACGGAGGCCCUCAAGCUCUUCAAGUCCUGCCAGCUCUUCAUCAACGUGCCGGUGGAAGCUGCCUCGGUGGACUACCAUGUGUCCCUGGCCCAGACUGCACUGCAGGUCUGCCUGGUUCACCCCGAGCUGCAGAGUGAGCUCUACUGCCAACUCAUGAAGCAGACCAGCUGCCGCCCACCUCAGAAGUACUCCCUCAUGCAGUGCUGGCAGCUCCUCGCUCUGUGUGCUCCACUUUUCCUGCCUCAGCAUCACUUCCUCUGGUAUGUCAAGCAGCAGCUCCAACGCCAUGCAGAUCCCAGAAGUGAAACUGGCCAGUAUGCCACCUACUGCCAGCGGGCAGUGGAGCGGACCCUGCGGACCGGGGAGCGGGAAGCCAGGCCAUCGCGCAUGGAAGUGGUGUCCAUCCUGCUGCGUAACCCCUUCCACCACUCUUUGCCCUUCAGCAUCCCCGUACACUUUACCAACGGGACUUACCAGGUGGUUGGUUUUGACGGCUCCUCCACGGUUGAUGAGUUCCUCCAGCGGCUGAACCAGGAGAUAGGCAUGAGAAAGCCAUCCCACUCUGGCUUUGCCCUCUUCACGGACGAUCCCUCGGGCAGGGACCUGGAGCACUGCCUGCAGGGAAGUGUCAAGAUCUGCGAUGCCAUCUCCAAGUGGGAACAAGCCAUGAAGGAGCUGCACCCCGGAAAGUCUGAGGGUGGGACACGCGUCGUGAAGCUGAUGUACAAGAACAGGCUGUACUUUCGCAGUCAAGUCAAAGGGGAGACGGACCGAGAACGGCUGCUCCUUGCCUCUCAAACUAGUAGAGAGAUAGUGGCAGGGAGGUUUCCUGUCAACAAGGAAUUGGCUCUUGAGAUGGCUGCCCUGAUGGCCCAGGUAGAAUAUGGGGACUUGGAGAAGCCUGCCCUGCCAGGCCCUGGAGGCACAUCCCCUGCCAAGGCUCAGCAUCUGCUCCAGCAGGUCCUAGACAGGUUCUACCCCAGGCGCUACAGACAUGGGGCCCCCCCUGAACAGCUGAGGCACCUGGCAGAUAUGUUGACCACAAAAUGGGCAACAUUGCAAGGAUGCUCCCCUCCUGAGUGCAUCCGCAUCUACCUGACCGUGGCCAGGAAAUGGCCUUUCUUUGGUGCUAAACUUUUUGCUGCUCAGCCUGCCCAGCUGUCUUCCAAGGAGAACGCUCUGGUGUGGAUUGCUGUGAAUGAGGAUGGUGUCAGCAUCCUGGACCACAACACUAUGCAAGUGCACGUCACUUACCCCUACUCUUCAGUGACAACCUUUGGUGGCUGCAGGGAUGAUUUCAUGCUUGUGAUUAGAUCUAUCCCAGACAAGAGCUCUGGAAAAAGCCACAUUGAGAAGUUGAUCUUCCAGAUGGCUGCUCCCAAGAUUGCAGAAGCUACCUUCAUCAUGGCCAGCUAUAUGAACCAUUGCACUACAACUGUGAACCCACCCACCAACCCACCCGGAGCCUGCCAACUGUGGGAACUGGAUGGACGACAGUUCUUUUCUUCUGUUUCCUGUGCUACCAAGGGGCCAACGUUGCUGUGAAUAUUUCUCCUACCCAAUUCCCCACCACCACUAGUGCCUCUGGAAUUAGAGACAUAUAUCCUAGGGUAUGAUACUACUGUGAUGGGUCUAACAGCCCCCGGCUACUCUUGUUGUGUGAAAUGUGUAUUUUAGCCUCUGUGAAGCCUUUACUCUCUAGGUGCCUUAUGUUUCAGGGCUCAACUUUUUAAAAUCCAGACCCAGUGUUAAAACCACUUAUUCCUUUUUUCACAAGAAUAAUGACUCCAAAUGCUACCUGAUUCUAGACAUAGACAGGGAUGAUCCACUGUUACUGAGGGCAUCAGUGCUAUAAGUUAAGGCUUUCUGCACUGGUACUCUCAAGGAAGCUAAUUUUCUUUCUGGGUCUGCGGGGGACACAGUCUCACUAUGUCACCCAGGCUGGAGUGCACAGGGUUCAAGCAAUUCUCCUGCCUCAGCCUUCCGAGUAGCUGGGAUUACAGGUGUGCGCCACCACGCCUGGCUAAUUUUUGUAUUUUUAGUAGAGAUGGGGUUUCACCAUGUUGGCCAGGCUAGUCUCGAACUCCUGACCUCAGGUGAUCUGCCCACCUUGGCCUCCCAAAGUGCUGGGAUUACAGGCAUGAGCCACCGCCCAGCCCAGAAGCUAAUUUUUUAAUAUUGUAUAUGGUCUUAUUUAUACUUGAAGUUUUGUGAACGUCGCUAAACAGGAUAGGACUAAAAUUUCCAAUUCUCCUACACUCUGUCAGAAGCCUAGAACUCACUAAAUUGGGCUGCCUCUCCCAAAUGGGAAAGGUGCUAGCAGAGUUGGCGAAAAAAGAAUAGACUCACUUUUCCCCAUUAUUGGUAUGUAGGCAUUGGUACAGCCCCUUCUGGGGCAGUCUUUGCAGGGUAACAUGCUAUCCCUGCUAAGAUUCAAGCUGUUUUCCUCACACUGGACUGUAGGCCAAACCCAGUACCACGCAAUGUGCAAGCAAGGGCAGGAGGUAGGUCCAAUCUGACCCUUCCCUGUCUCAUUUUAAUGACUGGACAGCGCUCAGUGAAGGCUGUGUUCACUGUAGUGGGCCAUCAUUUGUUUCCUUGUUCUUGUAAAAGACCAAGCAAAUGCACUCUGCUUUUUGCUGCUGUAAGACCACCAAAAAUGAGUCAGAAACACAGAAGACUAUUUCAGGCAUGUGGGCCUGGAUAUGCUCCUUGAGACUUCUGGCAAACUUCUGCUGGGAAUUAGUUUGAGGGUGAGGGUACAUAUGUGACAUUUGCCCUAGCCUAAGAGUAACAGGUAAAAGAAAGUUUCUUUCAGCUUUUGCCUUACUGAUAAUACCAUAAUCCCCCUCAAUUCAGACCUUCUGAUUGAGUGCAGAGGAGACUAGACAGUCUCCUCUAGACAGGGUGUAGACACACCCUCCCCUAACAAAAACAAAACGAAAGAGUUCAUACUCUGAUUUUCCAACAUCUAAGAAAAUGAGUUUUAUUUCCUAGCUCUAAGGCAGCCUUACUAUGUGUCAGUGAAGUGCUGAAAACUGUAUAUUUAGCAGUAGCACCCAAAACCAAGCCUUUAAACCCCAACAAUGUGUGUAUAUUGUGCACAGCAAAAACUGCGAGGCCAGAACUAAUUUAUCUGAACACCUCAGCUGCUGUAAGCUUCUCUUCUCUCACCCCGUAAACUGACAAGCAUGAUGAAAAAAGAAGCACAUCCAAGUUUCUGCCUCUUUUAAAUGUACUUGACUUUGCAAGGCAAGUAGUUUUACAGCCAUUUCUGUUCACACCUUUCACCCCAGGACUUGGGAAUCUAGCUGAGACAUUUCUACCUCGAACAAGUCACAUGUACCACAGGUUCCUGAAUAAUUCCUGCAAGGCUGGUGACAGACAUAACAGCUCUGGUUUUAUAAUAUCUUGGGUAUCUCUAAGGCCAAUAAGGAUAACAUUAUCUACCCAGAGAGUUUAAAAGAAAAGUAGGAGUCCGAAGGAAGAGUAAACAAGAAUGGAGCUGUAUUCACACUGAAUUUGGGGUCAGUCUAUUUCCCCCACCCUCUCUCCUCCCCUUCAGGAACCCUUUAGUUUAUUAAUUUUAUACAGAAGAAACUGCCUUAGAAACAAAGGAUUCAAUAAUUUGCUUAUUUAUUCUUUGUUAACAUGAGAGUCCCAUGUCUGAAAACCAAAGUUCAAUUUCUGUCUGGCCUUUUGUCUCAUCCCUCUUGGCAAAAGUAGCUUUUGAACUGAUAAAAAAAAAAA
Molecule: small RNA, 5554 nt
Filed under: Pongo abelii (Sumatran orangutan)
Lineage: Eukaryota; Metazoa; Chordata; Mammalia; Primates; Hominidae
Description: retained intron
Source: RNAcentral